This is a long non-coding RNA of Bufo bufo (common toad), 217 nucleotides long. RefSeq lists it as uncharacterized. The record is from RefSeq and is a predicted model, not a curated record. Lineage: Eukaryota; Metazoa; Chordata; Amphibia; Anura; Bufonidae. The transcript has 3 exons.
UCAGGAGCGGGCAUAUUUCAUCACGGAGUAUCUCUCCGGUGGCAGCCUGGAGGCUUUGAUCAAUAUGUGCGGCUACCUGAAUACUGACAGCGUAAGAUUCUACACAGCAGAGCUGGUAUGUGGCCUCCAGUUCCUCCAUGGACACAACAUCGUCCACCGAGAUCUGAAGCCGCUUAACAUCAUGUUGGAUGCAGAUGGCCACAUCCGUAUAAUUGAC